RNAcentral lists this ribosomal RNA (450 nucleotides) under uncultured bacterium. Its description in RNAcentral is "bacterial SSU rRNA". It matches the Rfam family "Bacterial small subunit ribosomal RNA", at positions 29 to 526 of the family's 1533-position model. The record is from RNAcentral.
AACGAACGCUGGCGGCAGGCUUAACACAUGCAAGUCGAGCGCCUCGCAAGAGGAGCGGCAGACGGGUGAGUAACGCGUGGGAAUCUACCGAGCCCUAAGGAAUAACGCAUGGAAACGUGUGCUAAUACCUUAUACGCCCUUUCGGGGAAAGAUUUAUCGGGGUUUGAUGAGCCCGCGUUGGAUUAGCUAGUUGGUGGGGUAAAGGCCUACCAAGGCGACGAUCCAUAGCUGGUCUGAGAGGAUGAUCAGCCACAUUGGGACUGAGACACGGCCCAAACUCCUACGGGAGGCAGCAGUGGGGAAUAUUGGACAAUGGGCGCAAGCCUGAUCCAGCCAUGCCGCGUGAGUGAUGAAGGCCUUAGGGUUGUAAAGCUCUUUCACCGAUGAAGAUAAUGACGGUAGUCGGAGAAGAAGCCCCGGCUAACUUCGUGCCAGCCGCCGCGGUAAAAC